UCAUGUGUAAGGUGUACAGUGAUCCGCAGCCGCACAUCCAGUGGCUAAAGCACAUCGAGGUGAACGGGAGCAAGAUUGGUCCAGACAACCUGCCUUAUGUCCAGAUCUUGAAGCAUUCGGGGAUUAAUAGCUCGGAUGCGGAGGUGCUGACCCUGUUCAAUGUGACAGAGGCCCAGAGCGGGGAGUAUGUGUGUAAGGUUUCCAAUUAUAUUGGUGAAGCUAACCAGUCUGCGUGGCUCACUGUCACCAGACCUGUGGCAAAAGGUAAUGGGGAGAUGGAUGGGACCCUGUGCUGGGGAUUUGAUGUAGGCCCCAAGCUGCUGGGGCAGGCGGGGAAGCCAGUACUGGACUGUCCUUGCCACCCUACUGUAUUUCUAGUGCCCAGAGCCAUGGAAAAAUACCCGGCCUGGGAGGCUGGUUUGGUUUGGUAUUGUGUUGGUGUCUGUGGGUUCCCUCUCUGCCUUCUGUGUGUUCCUUGGCUGUGUGUGGAUCCAUGCGAGGACUCAUGGGGACACGUCUUGCUGUGUUACAAAUGGUACUUCAG
This 544-nucleotide small RNA is filed under the name Pongo abelii (Sumatran orangutan). RNAcentral's name for it is "retained intron". The record is from RNAcentral. Lineage: Eukaryota; Metazoa; Chordata; Mammalia; Primates; Hominidae.